CACAUUUCUUCAGAGCAACAACAUAAUUUGGCAUGACUUCGAACCAAUAUCUCAUCACAACAAUAUCAAGUAUAUCACAGUAACAACAUGAUUUCUCAUAACAGCAUGACUUGGAAUAAAAAAUAUCUCAUCCAUGAUCUUUCACAGCAACACCAUAAUUUUGCAACAAACAUAAUGGAACACAUGACUUGUGCAAUAGCUCACAAUCAGUUAUAUUAUUACAGCCCAAGCAACGUUGAGAAUAAUGUUGUCAUGCAGAAGAAUUGCUCUUAAUGAUGUCAUCAUCAUCCAGUUUUUGAACGACCAAAAGUUUGUCCAGAUUGUUUAAUCUUGCUUCUCUGGUUGCCUGGGAACCUGAUUAUUAAACAAAAGCAAAAUGAGAGUGACAAAGCUUAAAUAGGCCAACCUAUGUUCUAGUACUCCAGGUCUUAUGAGAGUGACAACACAAAAGCAAAAGUUUGUAGGCAAAAUUAUGUAUGCUAAGCUACAGAAUGGUCAUCAUCAUAACUUAUGAAGAGUUGAGGUUUCAACGCUCGAGAACAAGCCCAUUAUAUGAAAAAAUAAUAAGCCACCACGCUUAACAGCAGCCAUGCUCCGAGCACCGCCACGCAGAUGCAGCAAUGAUGGACAAGCAUCGCUGCUGAACAUUCAAAAAAGGCCGAAAUUUUGGACCGGUUAGUACUAAUACCGGGCCCACGAGCAGUGCGAAUUUCAGCCGAAAUUCCUUUUUUUGGGACGAAAGCCAAAUCCCUGUACUACACAAGUACAGAAAAAAAAGGUUAAGCUUGUGUGACUGCUUCCAUGCUUGCUACUGCACUAUUUGAAAUCAUGUCAAAUUCCUCCAGCCCCUGCACUUUGAAAGAUCUGCAUCUUUAUUAUAUGCAAAACUGCUUGUAAUUUGGUCAUGAGAGUACAUGUGAACCAAAAAAAGAGUAGUUUAAUUCAUAUUAAUGCUGCACCUUGUGCAUGGGUAAGCAUUUGAUUUUAAAAGUGCACAUUCAUUCAGAAAGGCACAUCCACACCAUUAUCCAUUCACUCAAUCAGAAAGAAAGAAACAGGGUCUGAAGAAGAAUGAAUCCCUUCUCCAUUAAUUUUAUUCACACGUGAUUGACAAAUUCAGGUCAUGGUAACCCAUGAAUUGAAGACAAUUAGACAUACAGUCACUAGAUAUAUAUACACAGGGACACGACCAAUUAACAAGAGAAAGAAUUUUCGACAAAUACUGAACCUGCUACCCUUUAUCUUAAUGAGGUCAGUAGAGCACCUGCUGCCUUUGUCCUGAAAACAGAGUAAACAAACUAGUUGAAAAAGGUCAUCUUAUCACCAUAAAAAUCAGUAUGGUUACAGGCUAGCACCCUCGGAUGCUCCAUAACAGUACUAACUAACAAUGGAUCGGCAGAAGGACAGUAACAAGUAUUAGGAAGCAGGAUGCUAAAUCGCCGGCUUCAACACUAUAUACCAAGACCCCAGAUCACAUAUAUGAAUAAUUAACAGAGAUCGAACCCUGCGACAAACUACAAAGAUCGCACUGAUGUCGGUCAACAUGAAAGCUUAUCACCAUUGCUCGAAAUGAAGUCUUGUAACUGUAAGAAGCAAACUAACUUUCUUAGUCUGAAGCAACGUUUCUUCAGACUCCGGGUUCCUAAACUUCCAUUCAGAAGAAAAUUGGAUCUCAACAAUCCUAACCGAACUUUCUUUUAUCUUUUUUCAGGAAACCCAAAGGAGCACAGGCCCCGAAUUUCGUUUUCAUGAGUGGAACUGACAACACAACAUUCUAACUGAACUAUGCAUUCUCCGAAGCUGCAGCGACCCGCCGCAUCCCCCAGACCAACACCGACCCGUCGAAGAACCCCGACGGCCGACGCGCUGCUGGAGAAGAUCGCCAAGCUGGACCUGCUGACCGAGAUCAGCGCCGUCAGGAGCAGGUCCGACCUCAACUUCAGAGGCAACGUCAGGGACGUGGUGUCCCUCUCCCGGACCCCUGCGCCCACAACUACGGCGCCGAGCCCUACAUCGUCGCCCACAACUUGGUGACGGCCGGCACCUCAGGAGGAAGAGGCAGCAGCCAUGGCCGCAGGGCCGGUCCUGAAAUUUCAGGGGCCCGGGGCGAAACAAAAACUCGGGGCCCCCUGAUAUAAACGUCAUAAUAAUAAUAAGCAAAAUCUAUGGAUACAUUCUUACCGGUAAUUUUUUUUAUCACUGAUGUAUACACUAUUUUCCCGCAGAAAAAUGUAUAUAUUGUUAUUGUCGAUGUUGAUGUCAAUAUUUCCUUGUUGUUAAGAUUCAGAAUUCCCAUUAUUAGUUGGUUCCGCUUCCUUCAUUUGGGUUCGUCGAAGCACCAAUAAGGCAAAUGAUCCAAUAUUACUUUUGAAAAUAGAAAUCAAUAGCUCCUCUCUGUGAUUCUACCACCACACGUUGUUCCUUUUCCUUUAUUUUUUCUACCAGAAGCAUACUUUGUAGACCACAUGAUAACAAAGGGCUAGCAUACUUGUUUUAAGAAAAGGGAUAGGGUUUUUAUUUUAUUUUGCAUCAAAAGGUUGAACAGUGUAAGGUAUGCAUCAUGUAAAUUGGAGUGUUUAAUUAACAGUAUGCAUAUAGGAAAAUGGUUACGUGAAACGUGAUAUACCUCAUAUCUGUCAGAUCGGCGUCGACGAACUCUCGGUGCGGCAAUGGUGCGAUGCGUACUGGCGUCUGCGGGACGCACUCAACGAUGUCCAUGUGCUUGAGCGCCUAGGGACAGAGGAGCGUAGUUUGUCGGCGUACUGCGGCAGUCAUGGCCCUGGUUGAAACCGUCCAGCACCGGCGAGGCUGCAACUAACGAUCGGAGCUCAGCCGAAUUUACUAGCGUAGUGGGGAAUUAGGGAUCGUAGCAAAGAACAAGAUAUGCGACUCGUGAUGGAAAGAAAACAAAAACAAAACUGGCAACUCGCAAUUCUCCCGUAGUAGGAACCGGGAUUCUCGCGAUUGUGGGAUACCUAAGCACGCAACGUGCCUGUUAGCUGAAUGUUUUGCAUAGACAAAAUCAAUGCUGAUGGCCUGUUACCGGAGGCUGCGUACCGUGCCAUGGCAUGGGCUAGCUGCAUACGGCAUACCUGGCGGGGCCCCUAGAUUGCGGGGGCCCGGGGCGGCCGACCCCCCUGCCCCCCCUCAGGGCCGGCCCUGCAUGGCCGAUGGCAAACCGUAGACGACGAGGGGAAAGGAGGGGAGGCGAGGACAUACCACCGGAGAGAAGUCCAAUACGCCGGACGAGGUACGCCGGCGUCGAGGCGUCGGGCGGCGGUGUCUUGGGGAGGCACUGGAUGGCGGAGAGAGGAGUGGGGCGGCGGCGUCUUCACGAGUCGAGCGGCGGCGUCUCCAAAUCCUCGAGGCCUCGCGAGGUUAAUCCUCCGAAAACCCCUUCAACCCACGCCAAA
Molecule: long non-coding RNA, 3413 nt
Filed under: Triticum aestivum (bread wheat)
Lineage: Eukaryota; Viridiplantae; Streptophyta; Magnoliopsida; Poales; Poaceae
Description: long non-coding RNA (TAES_LNC004838)
Source: RNAcentral